GAUGAACGCUGGCGGCGUGCCUAAUACAUGCAAGUCGAGCGAACAGACGGGGAGCUUGCUCCUCUGACGUUAGCGGCGGACGGGUGAGUAACACGUGGAUAACCUACCUAUAAGACUGGGAUAACUUCGGGAAACCGGAGCUAAUACCGGAUAAUAUAUUGAACCGCAUGGUUCAAUAGUGAAAGACGGUUUUGCUGUCACUUAUAGAUGGAUCCGCGCCGCAUUAGCUAGUUGGUAAGGUAACGGCUUACCAAGGCAACGAUGCGUAGCCGACCUGAGAGGGUGAUCGGCCACACUGGAACUGGGACACGGUCCAGACUCCUACGGGAGGCAGCAGUAGGGAAUCUUCCGCAAUGGGCGGAAGCCUGACGGAGCAACGCCGCGUGAGUGGUGAAGGUCUUCGGAUCGUAAAACUCUGUUAUUAGGGAAGAACAAAUGUGUAAGUAACUAUGCACGUCUUGACGGUACCUAAUCAGAAAGCCACGGCUAACUACGUG
Molecule: ribosomal RNA, 497 nt
Filed under: uncultured bacterium
Lineage: Bacteria
Description: partial 16S ribosomal RNA
Rfam family: Bacterial small subunit ribosomal RNA
Source: RNAcentral